This 611-nucleotide ribosomal RNA is filed under the name Achromobacter sp. IBb301. RNAcentral describes it as "bacterial SSU rRNA". It matches the Rfam family "Bacterial small subunit ribosomal RNA", at positions 391 to 995 of the family's 1533-position model. Lineage: Bacteria; Pseudomonadati; Pseudomonadota; Betaproteobacteria; Burkholderiales; Alcaligenaceae. The record is from RNAcentral.
GCCAUCCCGCGUGUGCGAUGAAGGCCUUCGGGUUGUAAAGCACUUUUGGCCGGAAAGAAACGUCGCGGGUUAAUACCCCGGGAAACUGACGGUACCUGCAGAAUAAGCACCGGCUAACUACGUGCCAGCAGCCGCGGUAAUACGUAGGGUGCAAGCGUUAAUCGGAAUUACUGGGCGUAAAGCGUGCGCAGGCGGUUCGGAAAGAAAGAUGUGAAAUCCCAGAGCUUAACUUUGGAACUGCAUUUUUAACUACCGGGCUAGAGUGUGUCAGAGGGAGGUGGAAUUCCGCGUGUAGCAGUGAAAUGCGUAGAUAUGCGGAGGAACACCGAUGGCGAAGGCAGCCUCCUGGGAUAACACUGACGCUCAUGCACGAAAGCGUGGGGAGCAAACAGGAUUAGAUACCCUGGUAGUCCACGCCCUAAACGAUGUCAACUAGCUGUUGGGGCCUUCGGGCCUUGGUAGCGCAGCUUACGCGUGAAGUUGACCGCCUGGGGAGUACGGUCGCAAGAUUAAAACUCAAAGGAAUUGACGGGGACCCGCACAAGCGGUGGAUGAUGUGGAUUAAUUCGAUGCAACGCGAAAAACCUUACCUACCCUUGACAUGUCUGGAA